AGGUGGUGCACAAGCUUUAACUAAAGAACAUGGAACUAGAAACAUUCUCCUUAAGCUCUCCGGUAACUGCAGGCUGCAAGGAUGACAUGAUAUUUAAAAUUAAUCUAAUAUAUAUUUUGGUACGGUAUCGGUAUUUCAGUAUUUUAAAAAAAUUAUCAAAUACCAUAUCAAAUAUCAAAUACAAAAAAAUUCGAUUUCGAUAUGUUAAUUCGGUAUUUACCAAAUUAUACACGGCCCUAUGACGCCUUAUUAUUUUCGCCCCAACAUCAUUGUCAACCAUCCCAAUUUAAUAUUUUUUCCAGAAAUUGUACCACAAGAAUACUCUAGGAAACAAUGCAACAGUCCCAUGUCCAUCCUGGCCAUGUGAAAUAUCUCAGAAUUUGUUUUUGUUUAUUAGCAAUCUAAUCCAACACUGCCAAAACUCACAUACUGACAUCUGCAUUAAAUAUUGUACCCCCCCAAGUGUCACUCCCAUUUGAUGUCUACAGCUGCCUUUGUUACCUAGCUACUAACCGUUACACUAGAAAUUUUAUGUAAAUGUGUACUUUUUCUAUAUAUAGUGGAGCAGUGCCUUAAAAUAUUCCAAGAAUCAUUAUUUAUCUAUGGUUUUUUGGGUUACAGUGUCACUGAAACUAUCCCCAAGAUUCCAUGGAGAGGUGAAAUAGUGGGAGGUAAGUUACAAAAACCCACUUACCCAACUGUGUAUUUAGGAAUAAAAUGCACAACUUUCUAGGUAAAAGAGUAGUACUUCAAGUUUAUUUUAUUAAUAAUGCGUUUAAUGUGAAUUCUUCUCAAUGUAUUUUAGUCGGUUAUAUCAGAUUAUUAUUCUAUUCCUUUCAAAUUAGAUGGACUGUUUUUCUUUUUAGUUUAUUUUAAAAUAAAUGACAUAUUUUUAAAUUUGAAAAUAAUUUAAUUUUAAACUCUUCAUUUGAUUCAUUUUACCCUUAAUAAGAAGCUUUUAUAACCACACAAAUAUCAUGAUCACAAAACUUUUACCCAUUAACCUUUUAAGACCGCAAGUUACAAAAGUCUCUUUUUUUUUCUUAAAUUUUUUGCUUAAAACGAAGGGAGUAAUUCAUUUUUCAUGUUAUUAUACUAGGAUUGAUAUGUAGAGUUCCUAAUCGCUGCAAGUCCACUUAAUCAAAUAGUAUAAAGAUUUUUUCUACUCAGUAUAUAAAUAUAAAUAUAAAUAUAAAUUUUUUACUUAUUAGAGAGAGGGGUGGGGAGGGGGGUUUAUUUUCUUCACCUUUGUAUUAUUACAAAUUUAACUUUUAUAUAUUAAUAAUGUAAAAUAAUUUCUACAUUAUUAUGUCACUUAAAAGAGUAACUAUAUGAAAAAAUGAGAUUAAUGACCUAAAAACUAAGAUAUCUUUAUCUGCUAAAAUAUAUUUAAAUACAUUAAUAUUAUAAAAAAUUGAGUUGUCAGUCUAUAUAAUUUAAAUCGUUAAAUUAUUAGGAGUAAAUUUUAUGGAUGGUCAUUCAACUUUGUGUUCAUUACGCAAAAGUCAUUUUUCUUCUUUUUGUUACGUAAAAAUUAUUCAACUUUGUGUUGAUUACAUAAAAGUCACUUUUCUUUCCUUUGUUACAUAAAAAUUAUUUUACUUUGCUAUGUUUAUCACAAAAGUCACCUUGAUCAGAUUUUAUAAUACUUUUACUUGAAAAGUCAAUUAUGCCCUUGACAUUAUAUAUCCUCUCAUUUAUGUAAUACAUUUAUAUUAUAUACUAUAUAAUAUAUAUAUUUUUAACUAGAUAUUUUACUUAUAAUUAAAAUAACUUUAAAUUAUUUUAUAAUAUAUCCAUAUAUUUAAUUUUUUCACGACACUCAAUUUGUUUAAUCAUAUUUAAGCAUGAACAUAUUUUAAAUAUAAAAACCAUAAAAAAAAUUAUUUUUAAUAUUUAUUUGAAAUAAUAACAAACAGAUUUGUUUAACAAAUGAUAGUUUUUUUUAUAGUCAAUACAAAUUUUAAAAAAAAAUUCGAAGAUAUUUGUAUUUAUUAUUAAAAUUUUUAAAGCUUUAUUUGUUAAUAUUAUUUAUUUGAAAGUAUUAAUUUGAUGUGUCAUUGUACUAAAUAUGGAUAUUUUAUUUAUUGAAUUAAUGAGUAUGACUUGGUUGAUCAUUAAAAAUAUUUAAUUAAGUAUGGUUAAGAACGUGGACUUGAGAUUUGUUCAUGGUAAUAUUUACUGACAAAUUUAAUAAUGUUACUUAUAUACCUUGAAAAUUACCGUUAAGAAGAUAUUAAAUGUACGAAUAUAUUAUAAAAAAAUAAGUAAAAUAAUAUCAAGUUAUUUUAAUUAUAAGUAAAAUACCUGGGUAAAAGUAUAUUAUAUAGCAUAUAAUAUAGAAAGUAUUACAUAAAUCGAAUGAUUUAUAAUAUCAAGGUCAUAAUAGACUUUUCACGUGAAAGAUUUGUAAAAUCUGGUCAAAGUGAUUAUUGUGUUAACUAGAGCAUAGACAAAUGAUUUUUGUGUAACAAAAGAAAGAAAAAUAAUUUUUAGGUAAAGAACAUAAAGUUGAAUAAUUUUUACAUAACAAAAGAAAGAAAAUUAACUUUUAGUUAAUGAACACAAAAUUGAGUAACAAGCCAUAAAAUUUACUCAAUUAUUAGGAGCAAUUUUUGCUGUGUACCAUGCAAAUGAAGACUAUUUUACUAGAAAAGUUUUCAGCAGAAUAUAGUGGAUCUGAACUUCAUAUCUUUUAGUUCUGCCAGUCUCAAAAAUACAUGGUUCCGAGUCUUUAGUAUUCCUGCACUCUCUGCUUUGCUCUUCAGCUUUGUAAAUGGCCAGCUCCUCCUCAAGUUUGUUUUGGUGCAGUACUCUUUUUCCCCUUCUUUCUACUAAAUGAACUCUUUUAGUAAUUAACUCAUUUUGCCAAAUCUUGAAUGAAUUCAGUUGUUUGUCGUCUAUACUUGAGGUUUUUCAUUUACUACACUGUUUAACUUUGCAUAUGAUUUCAGUGCUGCUUCUUGUGUUCUCUUCUCAAGAAAAGCUGAAAGUUUUGUUCUUUGUUUCAAACAGUGGAUACCAUUUUCAGAACUAAACAUCCUCACACAUAAGAAAGUUUCUAGCUCAUUGUUUCCUAAAACUUUAUUCUGUUGCUUUAAAUGAUGAAAAACAGUGUCAAGCUGCUUUCCCUUUGUUCUUCUUUCCUGCUACUCAUAAAAAACUGAACUUUAUACUUGGCACAAAUCUUAAGUAUCUAGAUCUGCCUUUAAAAUCCAUUAGGAACAAAAAGAAUUGGUCAUAAGUAAUUAGGCAAAAGAGUGAAAAAUGAGAUCCAUAGAGGACAAAGGAUGCUUGAAUUAUGGACAAAAACAAGAGGUUGUAGGAGGAGGAGGCAGCAGUAUGAAUUUUGAGUUUCAUAAAGGGAAUGGAGUAAAUCGUGCAUCGACUCACCAAAGAACAGCAGCCUCAGGUAAACCAACACCAUCAAAAUGGGAUGAUGCACAAAAAUGGUUAGUGAAUCUUUCAAGAGGGGGAGGAGAAAAACACCAAUCUAAAGCCACCCCUCGAAACUCGAAUGCUGAUGACUUAAGGUUGAUUUCACCAGUUCCAAAGAAAGAGGACUAUUCGAGUGGCGAGGAAGGAGAUUCUAGUAUGAUUCAAUUUGAAGUGGAAACAAAGAAAGUUGAUUGUGAUGAAUCAAUAUGGAGAAUCAAUAAGGCUUCUAAUAACAACUCUGCCUCAGCUGUUCGAUCGAUAUGUGUUAGGGACAUGGGAACAGAAAUGACCCCAAUUGCAAGCCAAGAACCAUCAAGAACUGCCACUCCGAUUAGAGCUACAACUCCAGCAGCAACAAGUCCAAUAUCCUCAGGAUCUUCUACUCCUAUAGAAAAUUGUCAAACUGUUGCCACCACAGGUGAGAACAGGGUAAAUGCAGGGACUACACGAAUCGUUCGCGAUGCAGAAGAAACUAUUGACAAUGAAUUAGCAGCUAAGAAGGAAACAAAACAUGCCAACAAGCUUAAUCCACUGGAAACUCGCGCAAUGGCUUGGGAUGAGGCUGAACGUGCCAAGUACAUGGCCAGGUAAUGUGCUAGAUAGGCUGCUCUGUUGAUUAAGAAUCAUAGCACUGUACUAUUAUUUAUUUUUUCUUUUCAAAAACUUUUAUCCAGAUACAUAACUGCUUAUUUUUAAAAUCAGUUCCGGUAGUUAAAAGUGAUUUUCAUGCUUAUUUGCUACAUUUAAUCAACUAACCUAAACGAGCCUGUUUGUACCACUCUUUCUUUGCGUUGAUCAUAUGAGUAACAACAUAUAUAUAUAUUGAUUUGUCUGCAGGUAUAAGCGCGAAGAGGUGAAGAUACAAGCUUGGGAAAAUCAUGAAAAGAGGAAAGCUGAAAUGGAAAUGAAAAGAAUGGAGGUAAUCAAUCUUAAUUUAUUUUGACAUGUCACUUUCUUUCAUUUUAAUCUUUACACCAUCUUGCUUGCGGUGGUGAGUACCUGAUUUAUUAUUAGAGGCAGAUAUAAGAUACUAGUAUUAAGUAUGUAGGUGCAGACUACCACUGCACUCACCAUUCUUUGUUAAAGUAGGUGCGAACUUGAUAUCAAUAUACUUUUAGAAAAUAAUUAACUUACGCUGCCCAGUACUUGUAUCACACAGGGUUAAUUUCACGUAUAACCACUUAACUUUACCACCUAUAAUAGUAAAUUCAGAAAACUAUUUCUCUUCACAUUAAUUAAAGUCACUUUGAUAGAUAAGUGUUGUCGUUAUAGUGGAUAGCGUUGAGCGACUUUAUUGUUAUAGUGGGUACAGUUUAGUUACUUUAACCUAAUAAAAAAUAGGUUUAUAACUUAGGAUAAAUUUUAGUGAUUUCGGUUACUUUAAUAUGACAGAAGAGAAUUUUUUGACUUAACUAUUAUAGUGGUUACCUGAAAUUAACCUUGAGCUCUCAAAAUGCUGCUGGUUUGGAUUUGCAGGUGAAGGCAGAAAGAAUAAAAGCAAGGGCACAAGAGAAGUAUACAAACAAGUUGGCAUCAACAAGGAGAAUAGCAGAGGAGAAAAGAGCCAACGCUGAAGCAAAGCUGAAUGAAAAAGCUGUAAAGACUUCUGAAAAGGCAGAUUAUAUAAGGAGGACUGGUCAUCUUCCCUCCUCUUUCUCUUUUAAGUUACCUUCUUUCUGCUGGUAGCAGCUUUUUCUUGUAUACCUAUAAACUACACUACUAUAUUUACUAAGUAGUAACUUUGUUUCUUUCUUGCGUGGUUCAAUCAAAUCUUUUGUGCUCAAGUCUUUAUCACAUAUAGUACAAUUUGAAAGGCUACUCUUGGGAAAUAGGGGGUAUCAAAGUGUACAUAAUAAAAGUAUAGGGUGUUUUAGAGUUAGUUAAAAGGGUUAGUUAAAGUGGUUAGUGGAUAGAUGUGUAUGAGCUGUCAUUUAGUUAGUGAGCACUAUAUAGCCUUGUAUUGAACAUUCCUCUCUGAAGAAUACAAUUUCGAUUUCUCUUCUUCAUUUCUCAAUCUUCUUUCUCACCCAUAAUCUAACAUGGUAUCAGAGCGAAAAUCGCUAGGACUGUAAUUCCGAUCUAUUUCCGGCGAGAUUCAACUUUUCCGGCAAAACACAGAGGCGAAAUAUAGAGCUAAGAAAUUCUUCAAUUUUGAGCUCAAUUUCAAACAGCCAUGGCAGAUAACGAAGUCAGUUCACUCGACCAUAAUCAUCCGCUAUUUUUGCAAGCUUCAGAUGCUCUAGGACUCGUCUUAAUUUCACUCAAGCUCACAGGUCCAGAAAAUUACGCACUGUGGAGCAGAGCGAUGAAAUUGGCACUCCGGAGAAAGGGCAAGCUUGGAUUUGUGGAUGGAUCUCGUGUAAAAGAUAUGUAUAGAGGUGAAUUGACAGAGCAAUGGGAGAAAUGUAACGCAAUUGUUCUCUCGUAGAUUGGUAGUAUUGUUUCAAAUGAAUUAAUGCCUAGCAUCGUAUAUGCAUCGAAUGCAAAAAAAAGUAUGGGCUGAUUUCCAUGAGAGAUUUUGAGACAAGGAACGGACUCGGUCACUAGCUAUUAUUCGAAAAUGAAGGACCUAUGAGAUGAACUUGAACUAGAUGUCAUAGCACCUCUAGUCUCAUGUGACUGUGAGGAGUCCAGGCCUUCAGUAGAACUCUUGGAACAUUCGCCUAUUGCAGUCCUCAUGGGAUUGAAUGAAAGUUAUGGUAAUAUUCGAAGUAAUGUCUUGGCCAAAAGACCUGUGAUCACAAUGAAUGAAACUUAUGCAAUAGUUACACAAGAAGAAAGUCAAAGAACUCUAGGAAUCACAGACACAUUGAAGGAUCCUCUCACAAUGCUGGUAGGAAAAGGUCAUGAGUGUCAGGAUUAAUCUGCGACUAUUGUGGUUAUAAAGGACACCUCAAAAAAAAUUAUUACAAAAUAGUGUGGUAUCCACCAGAUUUCAAAAGUAAGAAAAAAGGGCAAAACACAGGAGGCAGGACUUGUGUGAACAAUGCAACAAGUGAGGAGAAACAUGCACCUAUGUUGCCAACACAAGGAAAUUUCUUCAUUGAGGAUCAAUACAAACAACUGGUGAAUUUGUUGCAAAAGACUACCACAAAUGAUUAUUCCACCAAUACUGCAGGUAUUAUCACUUUAAUGACAAAUGCAAUUGCUAAUGAUCAUGUUUGGAUAGUGAAUUCAGGUGCUCUCACCAUGUGACACAUUGCAAGAAUGCUUUAGGUAAUCUUAGAAAAGCAGAUCAUAGGACAGAUGGAGUACAAUUACCUACAGGCAGUAAAGCAGAAAUUACACAUACGGGAAAUGCAGGAAGGAGUUCUGUAUGUGCCAGAUUUUAAAUUCAACUUAUUAUUAGUGUCAAAACUCACUAGACAGUUAUGUUGCUCAGUUAGUUUUUGCCCCGAUUUCUGUAUAUUUCAGGGGCUCUACAAUGGCAAGGUGAUGGGGAUUGGUAGAGAAAACAAUGAAUUAUACUUGAUAAAAGAAAAUUUACCAAUAACAUCAAUUAGUUUUUUGAAGGAAAAUGGAAAAACAACAUCGUGGCAUUUGAGGCUAGGUCAUCAUCAACAAAAUCUAUGCAGCAUACUUCAGAACUAAAAAAUAAGAUACAAGUUAGAGAGCAGGACAAUUGUGAGGUGUGCCCUUUGGCAAGGCAAUGUCGACUACAGUUUCCACUUAGUAACACCAGGUCAAGUAGUUGUUUUCAGCUCAUACACAUGGAUGUUUGGGGACUUACAUAUGACAGGAAGCUUUAUUUUGUUACAAUAGUAGAUGACUACAUCCGGUUUACUUGGGUAUGCUUAAUUCAGUCUAAAUGUGAAGUAGUUGUUGUAAUAAAGAACUUUCUUGCAAUGAUAAACACUCAGUUUGAAGCUACUGUGAAAGUUGUUAGAUCAGAUAAUGGCAAUGAGUUCUUCAACUCUCAAUGCAAUGCUUUGUUUGCUUCUCUAGGAAUCGUAUACCAAAGUAGUUGCUGAUACACUCCACAACAAAAUGGGGUGGUUGAACGAAAACAUAGGCAUAUACUGGAGGUUGCAAGAGCCUUAAAAUUCAAAAGCUCAAUUCCUAGGAGGUUCUGGGGUGAUUGUAUAAGAACUGCAGUAUACUUGAUAAACAAACUGCCCACUAGUAUUUUGCAAGGAAUAUCACCUUAUGAGUUAUUGUAUGGACUGCCAGCCAAAAUAGAUCACUUAAGGGUGUUUGGUUGCUUAUGUUAUACAAGUAACCGGCCUAAAGGUGACAAGUUCACAGUUAGAGCUAAAAGGGUUGUUCUUAUUGGAUACUCAGAAACAUAAAAGGGUUAUAGGCUAUAUGAUCUAGAGAAUAGAAGUAUACUAGAGAACUUGUCGCGCUUCGCGCGGUUUAGGAAAAACCUCUUUAUAGAAUGAUAUUUUAAUAUUCGAAUAUUAAAAAUAAUAAAAGUAGGUUAUAUAUACCUUAUUGUUUACCUUCUUGUUCUUUUAUAUCAUGUUGGGUUUCACAAAAAAAAAAGGAAAAAGAUAAAGGAGAGAAAUUUCUUUUUAUUUUCUUUGCAUAAGCUAUUCAUAAUUUACUCUUUUAGUUACUUGGCACGGGUAUAUACUUUUUUUAUCUUUAUCUUUUGAUGUGAUAUAGUAAAAUUAAAGUGAAUAGCUUUUCUAUCCAUGGAAUAUAGAUAUCUUAUUAUGACAUACAUGUAAAAUUCACGAAUAUACACAAAUUUUUGUGGGGGAGAAACCAUUACCACUGCAUGUCUGCCGUCUGCCGUUAUCGCAAUCACUUCAAAUCACGACUAUUUAUUGUUCGUUUGAGAUCUCUCCUCAUGUACAUUUGAGAUGUCCAAAAGGAAUGAAACAUUGGAGGGUAAAAACUUGAAUGCAAAUGAUGCUCUAUCAAAAUGAGAGGGAGUUACUUCUCUGUCUUUGAUGUUGCAACCACAUUAGGAACAUAAGGCAAGUAUUAAUAAGUAAAAACUAAAGUACGAUUAUUUUAAACCGAAGGGAACUACUCACAACUUCACUUUUUGGAGAUAAAAAUUUUAACUGGACCACAUUAAAAAUCUUACUAAAUUAUACUUUUUGAAUUUAGCUAAAAUAGAAAAGAUGAAAAAGUCAUAAGUAGCCAAACAUAAAUAAUUUUUAUAAAUUGAUAAAAUCGCAAUUUUUUUCUAAUGAUAUCUAUGAGUGCAAUUUUCGUCCUUCAAGCACCAUACACCAUACAUAUCACAACCUAUGUAUGAGGGCGUGCAAAUGAUCCAACUUCUAGGCAUCCUAUUAAAAUAUGGUCCUAAGUACCCUGCCUUACAUUGAUCCUCAUUGUUAUUAUGUAGGUCCACUCCUGCCAAAGGUGAUGUCGUUUCAUUCUUCUUAGACACAGCUGCAUUUAGCUUUUUCGAAUUUGCCACAUUUUUCUUUAGGAGAAGGCAUUUCAUGUAAUUCUAUACUUGCUCCUUGAUCUUGGUGGCUUGCUUGAUAUUUGAAAGUCAAUUUGCAGAGGAGAAACUUCUUGUCCUUAAUAGAUAAGACAUGCUUGGGAUUUGCAGGUUACACUUUAAGAAUAUUUUUAAUUCUUAUCGUUGAGUCCUUUGUUUUUCUUAGAAAUGUCUUUCUUAAUCUCUACUUUCCCAAAAUCUACCCUGCAAGAUACCAUUAACUCAGAGUCAAUCUUGAAGCAACCUUGACUCUAAAGUUUAAACUGCACACCGGGCAUUAAAUAGCACUUCAAAGUGAAAAAUUAAUUUUUUCAAUAUAUAAAAAGAUAUUAUAUAGGAACUUUAAUAUAAUAAAUAAAAUAUUAUUUUAACUCCUGAGUCAUUCAUAGAAAUCAGAGAGAAUAUAUAAGACAUAACAGAAUUACAUUUAUAAGAUAAAAGAGUAAGCAUUGAAUAAGUUCUGGAAAAAAUAAAGCAUAGGAUAAAAAUUGGAAUUAAUAUUUAAAAAUCAUAUGGAAUUGAAAAGGGCAAGGCAUAUUCAAGGCAAUGAAACAGAAGGGGGUGGGGGGGUGGAAACACAUACCUAGAAAAAAAUGCAUACCUUGAAUUUCACGGGAAAGAGAAAACUCGAAGUGUACCUAUAGUGUUAGUGGGUUGUCACACAAAUGGAGAGAGAUGGACAAUGAAUAGUGAGGAGAGACAACUACAGAGUGAAUUAAU
This 9562-nucleotide long non-coding RNA is filed under the name Nicotiana tabacum (common tobacco). RNAcentral describes it as "long non-coding RNA (NTAB_LNC006206)". Lineage: Eukaryota; Viridiplantae; Streptophyta; Magnoliopsida; Solanales; Solanaceae. The record is from RNAcentral.